This 497-nucleotide ribosomal RNA is filed under the name uncultured bacterium. Its description in RNAcentral is "partial 16S ribosomal RNA". It matches the Rfam family "Bacterial small subunit ribosomal RNA", at positions 28 to 507 of the family's 1533-position model. The record is from RNAcentral.
GAUGAACGCUGGCGGCGUGCCUAAUACAUGCAAGUCGAGCGAACAGACGAGGAUCUUGCUCCUCUUACGUUAGCGGCGGACGGGUGAUUAACACGUGGCUAACCUACCUUUAAGACUGGGAUAACUUCGGGAAACCGGAUCUAACACCGGAUAAUAUAUUGAACCGCAUGGUUCAUUAGUGCAAGCCGUUUUUGCUGUCCCUUAUAGAUGGAUCCGCGCCGCAUUAGCUAGUUGGUAAGGUAACGGCUUACCAAGGCAACGAUGCGUAGCCGACCUGAGAGGGUGAUCAGCCACACUGGAACUGAGACACGGUCCAGACUCCUACGGGAGGCAGCAGUAGGGAAUCUUCCGCAAUGGGCGAAAGCCUGACGGAGCAACGCCGCGUGAGUGAUGAAGGUCUUCGGAUCGUAAAACUCUGUUAUUAGGGAAGAACAAAUGUGUAAGUAACUAUGCACGUCUUGACGGUACCAAAACAGAAAGCAACGGCUAACUACGUG